UGGACUAAUUGUUUUAAAAAGGUGAAAUUAUUACCAUUUUUUUUGAGGUAGUGGAUCUGAAAGCUAACAUUCCUGUGUCUCUUCUUGGGCACCCAGCUUAGGUUAACUGAGUUUUCCCCCACAGACAGGCUGAUGUUGGCAGGAGGUGCUGCAAGACAUUUGGACAGAGAAAUCAAAUUCUGAGUUUAGUACUUUCUGGUCCUCUAUGCGUCUGAUCUGUGAUGAGGAAGAACGCGGUGAAUCGCCUUUGUACCUCCAUCCAGCGUGGUGGCACCCUCCCUCAUGAUGGCCUCUCCGUCCCCUGCAGCAGUGCGCCCCCUUAAGUAGAAGCGGUAGUGGCUGUGACGGUCCAGGCCCUUCAGGGUGAGGAGUCCAGCUGAGGGUGACCGCACGGUGCUUAGGAUCGGUGAUCUGGAGGAGGACAGGGGGAUCUGGACGAUCUGAGGGGGACAACAAUAUUGUUACCACAACCACUGUAUGUCUCCCAUGUUCCGAAAAAUAUUAAAAAAUACUGAACAAUUUUGUAUA
Molecule: long non-coding RNA, 528 nt
Organism: Micropterus dolomieu (smallmouth bass)
Lineage: Eukaryota; Metazoa; Chordata; Actinopteri; Centrarchiformes; Centrarchidae
Exons: 2
Source: RefSeq, a predicted model, not a curated record